This 492-nucleotide ribosomal RNA is filed under the name uncultured bacterium. RNAcentral describes it as "partial 16S ribosomal RNA". It matches the Rfam family "Bacterial small subunit ribosomal RNA", at positions 29 to 507 of the family's 1533-position model. The record is from RNAcentral.
AGUGAACGCUGGCGGUAGGCCUAACACAUGCAAGUCGAACGGCAGCACAGUAAGAGCUUGCUCUUACGGGUGGCGAGUGGCGGACGGGUGAGGAAUACAUCGGAAUCUACUUUUUCGUGGGGGAUAACGUAGGGAAACUUACGUUAAUACCGCAUACGACCUACGGGUGAAAGCAGGGGAUCUUCGGACCUUGCGCGAUUGAAUGAGCCGAUGUCGGAUUAGCUAGUUGGCGGGGUAAAGGCCCACCAAGGCGACGAUCCGUAGCUGGUCUGAGAGGAUGAUCAGCCACACUGGAACUGAGACACGGUCCAGACUCCUACGGGAGGAAGCAGUGGGGAAUAUUGGACAAUGGGCGCAAGCCUGAUCCAGCCAUACCGCGUGGGUGAAGAAGGCCUUCGGGUUGUAAAGCCCUUUUGUUGGGAAAGAAAAGCAGCAGGUUAAUACCCCGCUGUUCUGACGGUACCCAAAGAAUAAGCACCGGCUAACUUCGUG